This 72-nucleotide transfer RNA is filed under the name Phrynosoma platyrhinos (Desert horned lizard). RNAcentral's name for it is "tRNA-OTHER". Lineage: Eukaryota; Metazoa; Chordata; Lepidosauria; Squamata; Phrynosomatidae. The record is from RNAcentral.
GCCAGUGUGGCAUAGUGGUUUAAGUGUUGGACUAUGACUCUGAAGACCAGGACUCGAUUCCCCACAUAGCCA